UCUGUUUUAAGGUUGAUAUUAGUCUCUGCACCGUUUGGAAAGUGAUUGUUGCUAGUGCACUGUAUCGAAAAUCUUCAUGUCUUCAUAUAAUGAAUGUGUGGUUGUUUGUGUUGGAUGUGAUGCAAUGGGAUAAAAAUGCAUACCACCUGAACUGAGAUGUGUCUAAGACAAUCCAGUGGAUAGCAUUACCCUGCAGAAUCCAGGAUUCAUAGUUCAGCAGAUUGAACCGUUCCGCAUAUUUAGUUUCUGAGUUUUUUAAAGUUUUUGAAUUUGUACAACAUAAAAC
Molecule: long non-coding RNA, 286 nt
Filed under: Vigna radiata
Lineage: Eukaryota; Viridiplantae; Streptophyta; Magnoliopsida; Fabales; Fabaceae
Description: long non-coding RNA (VRAD_LNC013406)
Source: RNAcentral